CAGUUUAAGCUGCUUUGCAUAAAAAGGCAAAAAUUCUCUUUCUUCUUGACUGGACAACCUGCACCUAAAAGCUCGGGUGUGGAUUGAGGACUGGGCACUCAGGGGAUGCAGGGUUUCCUCUUGCUCUGCAGGACCUCGGGGGAAAACCACUCAAGCAGCCACCAUGUGCCAGGCUCCUUGCUGAGCAAACUCUGGCACAUGGGCCGUCAUGGAUGGGUUGGUGGGUGGAUUGACCUGCAAAGAUUUUCCUCAAAGAAGACUUCCCUGCCCCCAGGCAGGCCCUCUGCCUACACUUCCAUAGUCCAGUGGCCCUUUCUCUUAGCAACCUUAUCACAGCUGUCAUCUUAUGUGCAUUUGGGAAAUUAGUUAAUUCCUUCCCCCACUAAACUGGAGCUCCACAAGGAGCUAUUUUUUGCUUGCCACUGGAGCACUAGCAGCGGGCAUGUGCCUGGCAAAUCGCAGGCACUCAUCACAUAUAUUUGUGAAUCAAUGGAAUCCUUGAGAUUCAGUAUGCCAGAGAUCAAUUAUGGCACAAGUCUUUGCAAAAAGAUUUGUCGCUGGGUUUAAUCAUUCAGAAAACAUUUAAGUACAUUAAGUACACGUGCCAUGUACUGUGCUAGGUAAUAUGGGGAGGGGCUUAUACAAAGAUAACGAAACCAGGGUCUCUGCCCUGAAAAAUAUGUACAGGCUGGGGGUGAGCCCCACCCUCCACUGUGGCCGCUGUGGGGUCUUACCCAUUGUCCUGCCUGUGAAGAAAGCUGUUCCCCACAUGGUCACUAUGGGGUGAAGCCACAGGGCACGUCCUAGUCCCUAAGAUUAGAAGAACAGACGUGGCCACCCUAAGUGAUGGCCCUGCGUGGUCACACGGUCCGUGAAUCAUCUAGUCUUAGGACUUGAGAGGCAGGAAGUUUUGUCAUUGGGAGAUCCAGGGUGAACAAGUCCGUUUACCCUGCACCUGCAGACACGAACCCAGCUCUGCUGACUGAGGGACCGUGUGAUCCGGGAGAAGCCCCAAGCUCUCUGCCUCUGGAAACCUGAGAAGGGAUGGCACGUGCCUCAAGGGCUGUGAUCUUGGCUCCUUCAUACUGAAAGCUGGGUGGCAUCCUGGAGAACCCACGCCUCCUUGCGUGGAAACCAUGGAAUUUCCCCAGGAAGAUGUCUUUGGCAACUUUUAGGCCACAGGAAGCUCACAGCUGGUGAGACACUGAGAAAAUGCGAGGGAAGAAGUGCCAGCCCUGCCCACACAAUCUGAGGCCCCUCCCAAGGGGAUAGGAAAGCUCCACAUCUCCCCAGACAGGACCUUGAAACAACCAGGGAGUGUCCCGGCUGCAGACUCCCGUGUCCACUCCAGCUUUGAGCUCCCAGUACUUCGUCUAUACGGUGCUUUUCACACAGCGACCCUCCACAAGUAUUUGUUGAAUAAAGGCAUUGGAAGGAAUCCAUGUGUAACAGUAAACCUUGCUUCCUGAUUUAGCUCUGGGAUAAAUCCGGGGCCCACAUAUUGACAUUGUUUAGCAAUUUAUUCCUUUAUGGAGUGUCUAUGACGUGCUGGGCUCUAAGAAUGUGAAGAUAAAGACACUGUUGCUGUCAGCUGAGGGUCUAGUGGGGACACAGAUUCAUGACCUUGUAUUUUCUUGAUUGUGGCACAGAGGCUGCGCACAUGCCAGGGAGGAGCCGGGAGGGAAGGAAGCAUCUGCACGGAGGAUGGGAGACGACCUUUGAGCUGGGUCUUAACCAGAAGGGGCUCGCCGUGAGGAGAAGCAGGGACGGCAUUUGAGACAGAUCUCUCUAACUACGAAGCCAGAGAGGCACAGGGGUGUGGUGCCGUCUGAGGCCGGGGUGACAGGAUGGGAAAGAGCGUGGGCUCUGGAGUGGCGGGAGAUGACGCGGGACAGGCCGGUUGUGUGGAUGCGAGAGGCUGGGGCUUUAAGCUGUCAGGCAGGGAGCGCCCAGUCCUGUUUGUGAGGCAGGAAGGUAAACAGCACACACCUGUGCGUGGUUUCCUUCUCGAAGGCCUGCCUGGCAGCCACUCCUCACCCAGGACCUCCGUCUCAUCAACUGUAAAAUGAAGGGAGUGGACCAGGUGAUCCUCCAACUCUCUGAUUCCAAGGAAGGAUGGAGCAGCGUGGGAUUUUGUGGAUAAGUUGCUGAGGGUGGGGACUCCCAGAUAGAACAAAACCUCUUCCAGAGGGGACAGGAGGCUUUGCAGAGUGGGUGGGUGACAAGGCUGCCUCCCCACCCAGCUGCUGCUGCUGCUAGACCUGCUUCAGCCACAAGGCCCGGGCAGGUGUGAGGCCUGGAGGCCCAGGGCCGGGCCCUAUUUGCCUUUGCAUCCCUCGUGCCCAGCACAGAGCCUGGCGCAUAACUAUCUACUCAGUGGGCGUUUGGUGGAUGAAGUUCUGAUUCGAAGCUGUACGUACAACUUUAUUUUCAAAAGGGCGGAAAGUAUAUUACUUUAUAAGUGCAGUGUCAUAGGCAACUUUCAAAACAUGGGGAACAUGAAAGAAAAAGUCAUUUGAGUUUCGAAAGCAGUGGUCAGAGGCCUGGGAGGUGGCGGGGCGGUGGAGGAAGGAUGUGGGGAGAUGGGGGGGAGGGGGGUUUCUUUGAGCUGUGAGGGUCAGUGGACAAAGGCAGCCUCCUAGGUUUGCAGCCGACACUCGAUGCUGCCCCUCUGUGAGAUGGGAGCCUGCGGGAGCAGCAGGUCUGGAGGAUGAGGUGGCGAGUUUAGACAUCCAGCUCGAGAAAUAAAUUGGAGUGUUUCCAGUGAUAGAAGGUUCUGGAAGCCUUAGGUGUGAGUGAGAAGAUGUAGGGCAAGUGUGUGGCAGGGUGUGGAGAGGAGGGCUGGGAUGCCCGGAGAAAAGAACUUUUAAGGAUGAGGCAGCACCAGGAGCUCCUUCCUCAGGACAGGACUUCCUCUCUGUGCCCACCUUCCUCCUCAUUACUAUAGCUGGGACAGGCACCAGCACUGUAGAGGCUUCACUGAAACCCCAGCUCCACAGGCUCCAACUUCUGUGUGUUCUUGGCCCCCCUCUCUUUUGCGGUCACAACAGUGCAACAUUCUGUGACUUCCCCUGUGACUCCACGAGGCCCGCCUCCUGGACUGCUGCACUGUCUGCUCACCUCAGUCACUUAUUCCUUUCUGCUUAUUACCCUCCACACCCCAGACUUUUCUUCCCUGAAUCCCUCCAGACGGUUCUGCCCACCCGCCGGUGAGCCAGGCUCUCCGGCUGUGCCCUGGGGGAGCCAGGGGAGUUUCCAGUUUCCUUCCACUUCCUCCCUGCUUCCCCCUCCCUCUCCUCCCCCUGGGCUGGCUGAGAAGAAGGUCCAGAGCUGGCAGCAGCAGGUGGAAAACCCAGGGCUGGCCGUCCUCCCAGCCGCUGCACAACUAGCUUCUGUGAGCCGUGGGUGAGGUGCCUCGGUGUGCCAGCCAAUGUGUGACAAUAGGCGCUCGGGGCAAAAAGCCCUGAUGGGUGGCAUUUAUUGAUUUUGGUGGUGUGAAUAUUCCCACCAUGACCAAUUUCAAGCUACCAACGAUGGUGGCACUGAACGCAGGAUUGGGAAGAGAUGUGCGAUAGCUCACUAUCGUAUAAUAUUCCCACCACACAGACACGGUGGGCAGGGAUAGCCUCAAGAGCAUAUAUAACUAUGAGUGUAGAAAAAUAAUUAGGAAGUAAUAAAUUUUGAGUAUUUGUUGCUUUUUAAAAAUAUAACAUUUUCUUGUAAGGUUUUAUAAUUUAAUUUUGAAAAUAAUGGCUGUUUCACCACUGGUUUGUAAAAUUCCUGAAAAUUUAACAAUUAGCUUUUGCAAGCAGUAUGAGCUGGUUCCAGCAAACCACUGAGUGCCACUGGGGCCAGGAGAAAAGGGGGAGACUCCAAACGCCAAAGUUUAGGGGGCAACAUUUACACUGAUGUGCACUCCGGCUGGGAUCCUCUUCCUGCCCAGGCCUUGGGCACUGUCAGCUGGGGUGGCGGGUGUUGGGCAGCAGCCUCAGCAUCCCCAGUAACAGUCAGACUCUCCUCCUAAGGAGGAGGAGCAGAGCCUGGCGCCGGGCACCCCCUCCCACCCGGCAGACAUGAGCUUUCCUGACCUGGACCUGUGGGCCCUGCGCCUGCCCAGCUCCCAGCCUCUGGACACCUACGCUGGCGGCCCCCAGAACCAGGAAGUUUGAGUGGUGCAAUGACCUUCGCCUUUGAAGAUGUGAAAUCCGGUUGCUCUCAGAGGGUAUUUCCAAGGAAUCCACUUGGUGCUCCGACAGCCCCAGGGCAGCCUCACCCCAGCUUUCCUGCCUUUUGGGUGAAUCAUCUUACCUUCCCCUACUACCUGGCUGAGAGAGUUAUGCUGAGAGAGUAAGAAUCUGCCUGCGGGAGAAGGGAAGGUAGGCAGUUCUGGAGCAUGGACCAUUUUGAGAGCUAUGAGAAGUCCAGGAAAAUAAAAAUAUUGUUAAAGAAAAAAAAUCAGUGACAUGUUAAAACACGGCAAAGAAGACUUUAUUCAAGGGGACGAAGCUAUCAAGUUGUCACAGGGGUCCACCUUCAAACUCAGCUGACUGUUGGUCAAAGGCAGGUCCUGGUCCAGCAAGGAGUCGUCGUCGGCCUGGAGGGCUGGGUGCGCCCCGUUAAUAGGCC
Equus caballus (horse) is the source of this 4626-nucleotide non-coding RNA. The record is from RefSeq and is a predicted model, not a curated record. NCBI's taxonomy places the organism in Eukaryota, Metazoa, Chordata, Mammalia, Perissodactyla, Equidae.